CCUACGGGAGGCAGCAGUGAGGAAUAUUGGGCAAUGGACGAGAGUCUGAACCAGCCAAGUAGCGUGAAGGAUGACUGCCCUAUGGGUUGUAAACUUCUUUUAUAUGGGAAUAAAAUGUUCCACGUGUGGGCUUUUGUAUGUGCCAUAUGAAUAGGGAUCGGCUAACUCCGUGCCAGCAGCCGCGGUAAUACGGAGGAUCCGAGCGUUAUCCGGAUUUGUUGGGUUUAAAGGGAGCGUAGGUGGAUUGGUAAGUCAGUUGUGAAAGUUUGCGGCUCAACCGUGAAAUUGCAGUUGAAACUGGUAGGCUUGAGUACCGUAGAGGUCGGCGGAAUGCGUGGUGUAGCGGUGAAAUGCUUAGAUAUUACGAAGAACUCCGAUUGCGAAGGCAGCUCACUGGACUGCAACUGACACUGAGGCGCGAAAGUGUGGGUAUCAAACAGGAUUAGAUACCCGGGUAGUC
RNAcentral lists this ribosomal RNA (460 nucleotides) under uncultured bacterium. Its description in RNAcentral is "partial 16S ribosomal RNA". It matches the Rfam family "Bacterial small subunit ribosomal RNA", at positions 338 to 795 of the family's 1533-position model. The record is from RNAcentral.